RNAcentral lists this unclassified non-coding RNA (2261 nucleotides) under Harpegnathos saltator (Jerdon's jumping ant). Its description in RNAcentral is "n-acetylneuraminate 9-O-acetyltransferase, transcript variant X2". The record is from RNAcentral. Lineage: Eukaryota; Metazoa; Arthropoda; Insecta; Hymenoptera; Formicidae.
UGAAAAUCUAUAAUAUACGUGACAUAAACUAUAUAUUUUCAGUACUAGCAGUGAAUACCGGAACAUAGCCAAUAGCAUAACCAAUAUAAUUUCCAGAAUACAAAUAAUUUUAUCUUUGUUAUUUCUUACAUUAUUAGUAUAAUCAACAAAGAGAGAGAAAGAAAAACAGAGCCUAUGACAUCAGCAGAACAUUUCAUUAGUCUUAUAACAGUAACAAGUGCAAAGAAAUUAGCUACUGCACUUGUUGUCUGUUUUAUUAUUUAUCAUGGAGUCAUAUAUCUCAUUUAUGGUAGUGAUUCUUGCAAAUGGUUAUUAACAGAAGGUAGAUAUAAAGGAGAUAAAGAAUGGCAACCUUAUGGAUGUAUGAUGCACCAUUAUACACAAACAGACAGCAGAAGAUGUAUGCGGUAUCUAGCUUUCAUGGGUCACCGUAAUCAUUUUGUAUUCAUUGGUGAUGCUAGAGUAAGACAAUUGUAUAAGUCCUUUGUCUCACAAUUUAUUGUUGAUGGCAAAGCAUCAGAUCUUAUAGAAUUACCUGAGAACUCAGAUUUGGGCUUUAAUGAUGGACAACUUAAGUUAAAUGUACAAUUCUUAUGGAGACCACAACUUGAUAAUUCUAUGAUAAUGGAUCUUAGAGGCUGGAUGAAUACAGAUGCACCAAGUAUAAUUGUUGCUGGUUCUGCUGCAGCUGUGAUUCUGAUGAACAAUAACAGUGAUACGCAACUUUAUUCAGAAUACAGCACUGGUUUGAUCCGGUUAGUACAGCCAGUAGAUUUCUUGGCUAAGAAGGGAUCACAAUUUCUGUGGAUGUUACAAGAUCCUGUGCUCAAAGAAAGACUGCCUUCACAAUUAUCAAGUUUGGAUAACAAACAAAUCAAUUCGUGUAACAAAGCAGCAGAGAAGAUACUGUCCCAUAGUGAGGCUUAUAUAUGGCAAAGCAGUAAACUAGUAGGUACAGGUGUCCUUGAACAAAGUCCAGAUGGCUAUUUAGCAAGUCCAUUAUCACUUCGUCAUAAAAUACAGAUAUUAUUAAACACAUAUUGCAAUGACCAUAUGAAUUUUGAUGAUGGCAGUUGUUGCAGCUAUCCUGAACCAGCAACCACUUUGCAACUACUAAGUCUGUCUGCACUUGCAUUAUGUAUAACAAUAGGAGGAGCAGUGGGAUUAUACAGAAAAUUUUGCAAAUAUCGUUCGGAAAUGUUCUAUUCUCAUGUUAGUAUGGAAGAAACAGAAGAUGCAGAGGAAGAAGGUGCUUCAGAAGUCACUCAAGUUAAACAGUCUGAAAUGCAAGAUUUGUAUACUCUCAUCAUGUCAUUGGCUCUUUUCUCGAUUAUACUAGCAUAUUUUUACUUAUGUGACAGAACAAAUUUUUUCAUGAAGGAAAAUAAAUAUUAUAGCGAAUUCAGCUUUUGGUUACCACUUGGGUAUAUCUUGGCCCUUGGAUUAUUUUUCACCGAAGAUCGUGAAAGAGGACCAAGUGCAUUAAAUAGAGAACAAACAGAUGAAUGGAGAGGUUUGAUGCAAGCGGUUGUACUCAUAUAUCAUGUUACUGGUGCCAAAAACGUUUUACCCAUUUACAUGUACUUAAGAUUAAUUAACUCAGCUUACUUAUUUUUGUCUGGAUACGGGCACUUUUGUUAUUUUUGGCAAACUGGUGAUGUAUCUCUUGUCAGAUUUGCUAGAGUCAUGUUCAGACUAAAUUUAUUGACAGUAUCACUAUGCCUUUGUAUGAAUAGACCAUAUCAAUUCUAUCACUUUGUACCGUUGGUAUCGUUUUGGUUUUUAGUUAUUUACUUUCUGACUUGGUUGCCACCCAGAAUAUAUUCAGGAAGUUUGGCAGAAUAUGGUCCGAGAGUCUUGCUGUACUUUGCUCUGAAGCUUUUGGGACUUGUGUCGAUAAUCACCAUAUUAUACAUGUCAGAGUGCAGGUGUUCUUUGAGAAAGUUUUCGUCACGAGGCCAUGGAAGGCAUUAUUCGUGACGACCGAUGACGAUAUUCGCGAAUGGUGGUCUCGCUGGAGAGUCGAUAGAUACAGCGUGGCUUGGGGCUUGACUUUCGGAGCUGGUCUUGUAGCUCUUCAAAGAAUAGAUCACAUUCCGGAUUAUAGGAUAUAUCGCUCUACGAAACGCAUCGUUGGCAUUACGUGGAAAACAUUCCGCACUUUUAGCUGGAUUAGGUAGAAUAAGUUUGGAAACUUUAGUUGCACAGGGUCACAUAUGGCUGGCGGCAGAUUCGCACGGAGUGCUCGUAUUGUUACCGAG